UUAAGCGACUAAGCGUACACGGUGGAUGCCCUGGCAGUCAGAGGCGAUGAAGGACGUGCUAAUCUGCGAUAAGCGUCGGUGAGGUGAUAUGAACCGUUAUAACCGGCGAUUUCCGAAUGGGGAAACCCAGUGUGUUUCGACACACUAUCAUUAACUGAAUCCAUAGGUUAAUGAGGCGAACCGGGGGAACUGAAACAUCUAAGUACCCCGAGGAAAAGAAAUCAACCGAGAUUCCCCCAGUAGCGGCGAGCGAACGGGGAGGAGCCCAGAGCCUGAAUCAGUGUGUGUGUUAGUGGAAGCGUCUGGAAAGGCGUGCGAUACAGGGUGACAGCCCCGUACACAAAAAUGCACAUAUUGUGAGCUCGAUGAGUAGGGCGGGACACGUGGUAUCCUGUCUGAAUAUGGGGGGACCAUCCUCCAAGGCUAAAUACUCCUGACUGACCGAUAGUGAACCAGUACCGUGAGGGAAAGGCGAAAAGAACCCCGGCGAGGGGAGUGAAAAAGAACCUGAAACCGUGUACGUACAAGCAGUGGGAGCCUCUUAAUGGGGUGACUGCGUACCUUUUGUAUAAUGGGUCAGCGACUUAUAUUCUGUAGCAAGGUUAACCGAAUAGGGGAGCCGAAGGGAAACCGAGUCUUAACUGGGCGUUAAGUUGCAGGGUAUAGACCCGAAACCCGGUGAUCUAGCCAUGGGCAGGUUGAAGGUUGGGUAACACUAACUGGAGGACCGAACCGACUAAUGUUGAAAAAUUAGCGGAUGACUUGUGGCUGGGGGUGAAAGGCCAAUCAAACCGGGAGAUAGCUGGUUCUCCCCGAAAGCUAUUUAGGUAGCGCCUCGUGAAUUCAUCUCCGGGGGUAGAGCACUGUUUCGGCAAGGGGGUCAUCCCGACUUACCAACCCGAUGCAAACUGCGAAUACCGGAGAAUGUUAUCACGGGAGACACACGGCGGGUGCUAACGUCCGUCGUGAAGAGGGAAACAACCCAGACCGCCAGCUAAGGUCCCAAAGUCAUGGUUAAGUGGGAAACGAUGUGGGAAGGCCCAGACAGCCAGGAUGUUGGCUUAGAAGCAGCCAUCAUUUAAAGAAAGCGUAAUAGCUCACUGGUCGAGUCGGCCUGCGCGGAAGAUGUAACGGGGCUAAACCAUGCACCGAAGCUGCGGCAGCGACACUAUGUGUUGUUGGGUAGGGGAGCGUUCUGUAAGCCUGUGAAGGUGGCCUGUGAGGGUUGCUGGAGGUAUCAGAAGUGCGAAUGCUGACAUAAGUAACGAUAAAGCGGGUGAAAAGCCCGCUCGCCGGAAGACCAAGGGUUCCUGUCCAACGUUAAUCGGGGCAGGGUGAGUCGACCCCUAAGGCGAGGCCGAAAGGCGUAGUCGAUGGGAAACAGGUUAAUAUUCCUGUACUUGGUGUUACUGCGAAGGGGGGACGGAGAAGGCUAUGUUGGCCGGGCGACGGUUGUCCCGGUUUAAGCGUGUAGGCUGGUUUUCCAGGCAAAUCCGGAAAACCAAGGCUGAGGCGUGAUGACGAGGCACUACGGUGCUGAAGCGACAAAUGCCCUGCUUCCAGGAAAAGCCUCUAAGCAUCAGGUAACAUCAAAUCGUACCCCAAACCGACACAGGUGGUCAGGUAGAGAAUACCAAGGCGCUUGAGAGAACUCGGGUGAAGGAACUAGGCAAAAUGGUGCCGUAACUUCGGGAGAAGGCACGCUGAUAUGUAGGUGAAGCGACUUGCUCGUGGAGCUGAAAUCAGUCGAAGAUACCAGCUGGCUGCAACUGUUUAUUAAAAACACAGCACUGUGCAAACACGAAAGUGGACGUAUACGGUGUGACGCCUGCCCGGUGCCGGAAGGUUAAUUGAUGGGGUUAGCGGCAACGCGAAGCUCUUGAUCGAAGCCCCGGUAAACGGCGGCCGUAACUAUAACGGUCCUAAGGUAGCGAAAUUCCUUGUCGGGUAAGUUCCGACCUGCACGAAUGGCGUAAUGAUGGCCAGGCUGUCUCCACCCGAGACUCAGUGAAAUUGAACUCGCUGUGAAGAUGCAGUGUACCCGCGGCAAGACGGAAAGACCCCGUGAACCUUUACUAUAGCUUGACACUGAACAUUGAGCCUUGAUGUGUAGGAUAGGUGGGAGGCUUUGAAGUGUGGACGCCAGUCUGCAUGGAGCCGACCUUGAAAUACCACCCUUUAAUGUUUGAUGUUCUAACGUUGGCCCGUAAUCCGGGUUGCGGACAGUGUCUGGUGGGUAGUUUGACUGGGGCGGUCUCCUCCUAAAGAGUAACGGAGGAGCACGAAGGUUGGCUAAUCCUGGUCGGACAUCAGGAGGUUAGUGCAAUGGCAUAAGCCAGCUUGACUGCGAGCGUGACGGCGCGAGCAGGUGCGAAAGCAGGUCAUAGUGAUCCGGUGGUUCUGAAUGGAAGGGCCAUCGCUCAACGGAUAAAAGGUACUCCGGGGAUAACAGGCUGAUACCGCCCAAGAGUUCAUAUCGACGGCGGUGUUUGGCACCUCGAUGUCGGCGGUGUUUGGCACCUCGAUGUCGGCUCAUCACAUCCUGGGGCUGAAGUAGGUCCCAAGGGUAUGGCUGUUCGCCAUUUAAAGUGGUACGCGAGCUGGGUUUAGAACGUCGUGAGACAGUUCGGUCCCUAUCUGCCGUGGGCGCUGGAGAACUGAGGGGGGCUGCUCCUAGUACGAGAGGACCGGAGUGGACGCAUCACUGGUGUUCGGGUUGUCAUGCCAAUGGCACUGCCCGGUAGCUAAAUGCGGAAGAGAUAAGUGCUGAAAGCAUCUAAGCACGAAACUUGCCCCGAGAUGAGUUCUCCCUGACUCCUUGAGCUUCCUGAAGGAACGUUGAAGACGACGACGUUGAUAGGCCGGGUGUGUAAGCGCAGCGAUGCGUUGAGCUAACCGGUACUAAUGAACCGUGAGGCUUAACCUU
This 2926-nucleotide ribosomal RNA is filed under the name Escherichia coli TOP498. Its description in RNAcentral is "bacterial LSU rRNA". It matches the Rfam family "Bacterial large subunit ribosomal RNA". The record is from RNAcentral. Lineage: Bacteria; Pseudomonadati; Pseudomonadota; Gammaproteobacteria; Enterobacterales; Enterobacteriaceae.